Molecule: long non-coding RNA, 1067 nt
Organism: Tupaia belangeri chinensis (Chinese tree shrew)
Lineage: Eukaryota; Metazoa; Chordata; Mammalia; Scandentia; Tupaiidae
Exons: 8
Source: RefSeq, a predicted model, not a curated record
CUGGUCAGCCCUCCUGUUAACUGAAUUCUUACUGGUUCCACCGUGAAGACCAGCUAGAAGUCACUUCUGACCUUCAGGUUCCUGUACUCCAUUUUACCAGAUUCCACCGUUUGCUGCUGAUGUGAUGUCGCUGAACAUGGAAUUGGGAAGGAACAUAAACCAGCUCUUUGUAGGUGGUACAAGUCAAUUCCAGUACUCUAUUGUCUGAUCCCCAAAGUUUUGAGGCAUGUGAUGUGGUGGAAAAAAAAUAUCAUCACCAGAGAGAAGAGUUUGAGAGCAGUGAGAGAAGCUGUAGGGAGUAUACUACUCAGCUCCUGAUUAAAGAAACAUCUAUAAUGGAAGCAAAUCAAGUCUGAAUUACAGUAGCAAAAGAAAAUUCUGUAUCCCCACGUCCUGUUUCUGCCUCUGAAAUGAUCGCUACUUCACAGACAGGUCAGUUGAAAUCUAAUAAAGGUCGUAAACCUGGAAGAGUUUCUAAUGAAAUGGCUGUGAUUCUAGGCACCUAUAAUCAUUAGUGUAAUUGGCCUGGUCUGCAGAAGCAGCAGGUGCUAGUCCCACGUGUCAUCUGGCCCAGGAACUCAGUCUGCUUCUAGUGGCUGUGGCUAUGCGGGUCUCAAGCCAUCAGAUCCCUAGGAAAAUAAACAGCAGCUACUUCCUUCUCACAAAGCACUGCCUCAGCUAGUCCAUUUUAUUGGUAAAAAGAAGGCUGAUGAGACCAAACUACACACAAAAGUGGGAAGGAAUUGAUCUUUGGCAUCAGAAAGGAAGACCUGGGUUCAAAUUCUGCUUCCACAGAGAACCAUCUCAGGUCUUCAUGUUACUGUGCGCAGAGGCUGGAGGGCUGGACACGGAGGACAAAGACCUCUGCUGUGGCAAAGGACCCACUGUGGCUUUAGAGUUCUUCACUGAAUCGAAGACGCCUCUGGAGUAAUUAGCAACAAAGUUGAUCGUCAUGCCGUCCACACGCAGGCCAGUCCAGACGCACCAUCGGUCCCUUCCUGCCUCUCUCUGUAGCCAUCUUUCUUCCUUGCGUUUAAGAAAAAAUAAAUGUUUUUGAUAUUAAUUAA